RNAcentral lists this ribosomal RNA (253 nucleotides) under uncultured bacterium. RNAcentral's name for it is "partial 16S ribosomal RNA". It matches the Rfam family "Bacterial small subunit ribosomal RNA", at positions 524 to 776 of the family's 1533-position model. The record is from RNAcentral.
UACGUAGGGGGCAAGCGUUGUCCGGAAUCAUUGGGCGUAAAGAGCGUGUAGGCGGCCUUACAGGUCAGCUGUGAAAACUCGAGGCUCAACCUCGAGACGUCGGUUGAAACCGUAAGGCUAGAGUCCGGAAGAGGAGAGUGGAAUUCCCAGUGUAGCGGUGAAAUGCGUAGAUAUUGGGAGGAACACCGGUGGCGAAGGCGGCCCUCUGGACCGGUACUGACGCUGAUGCGCGAAAGCGUGGGGAGCAAACGGG